AAUGAACGUUGGCGGCGUGGAUUAGGCAUGCAAGUCGUACGCACAGCAAUGUGAGUGGCGCAAGGGUGAGUAAUGCGAAGGUAACCAACCCUGGAGUUGGGCAUAACCGCGGGAAACUGCGGGUAAUUCCCAGCGAUGUUAUGAGGUGGCAUCAUCUUGUAACCAAAGGUGUGAUUCCGCUCUAGGACGGGCCUUCGUGGUAUUAGCUAGUUGGUGGGGUAACGGCCUACCAAGGCAACGAUGCCUACCGGGUGUGAGAGCAUGACCCGGCACACUGGAACUGAGACACUGUCCAGACACCUACGGGUGGCUG
RNAcentral lists this ribosomal RNA (313 nucleotides) under uncultured Pseudomonadota bacterium. RNAcentral's name for it is "bacterial SSU rRNA". It matches the Rfam family "Bacterial small subunit ribosomal RNA", at positions 29 to 351 of the family's 1533-position model. The record is from RNAcentral. Lineage: Bacteria; Pseudomonadati; Pseudomonadota.